Hydra vulgaris (swiftwater hydra) is the source of this 667-nucleotide non-coding RNA. The record is from RefSeq and is a predicted model, not a curated record. Lineage: Eukaryota; Metazoa; Cnidaria; Hydrozoa; Anthoathecata; Hydridae.
AAAACAUUUAUUUAGUAUUUAAAUAUGUUUGCAAUUGUUGCUUUUGAAAACACUUGCGAAACAGAUUAUGUUCCGUUGAAAUGGCUUGAGGGAGUGGAUGCUAAUAGUAUCCAGUUAAUGAUUACAAAUCGUACAUCAGUAAAAUGCCAUUGGCCACCAUUCAAAUAUCCAAACACUGUCUCUAAAGCAAAAAAUAACAGCCAUGAUGCAGAGAUAAAUUGGCCGAUAUAUAAGGCAAGAGUGCUGGGAUUAGCUGACUGCUUGAACAAUGCUCGUCAAAAAGAAAAAAUGGCAGAAGACACAUCCAGUUUAGAAAAUGUAUUUGAAGAGAGAAUAGAAGAAAUUCCAAGACUUUUCAAGAAAACAAAAGAAGACAAGUGACAAAGAUCAGUUACGAGAGAGAAACAGAAAAUGAGGAAUUUGAAAAUGAUCAAUUGUAUAGUGUAGAACCAAAAUAGAAGAUGUUGGUAAAUUCUGCUCUUGUUCAAAAGCCACAGCAACCCUGCAAGCUCCCAUCAAACAAUAAAUCCAGAGUUGGCGAUCAGUUGCAACACGAUGAAAAUUCUAAUGACUUCAACAUAUGGAAUAGUGAAGAAUUUUCACCUCAUAUUGCUUCAACUGCUGAAAGGGCAACAUCGCUGUCAAUGUUAAGUUCUUCUUCUGCAGG